AAGGAAGGGAAAGAGGGAGGGAGAGAGGAAGGAAGGAAGGGAAGAAGGGAAGGAAGGAAGGAAGGAAGAGGGGAAGGAGGGGGGAGGAGGAAGGAAUGAAGAGAGAAAGGAAGGCAGGGAAGGAGGGGAGAGAGGGAGGAAGGGGGAAAGGAAAGAAGGAAGGAAGAAGGAAAGAAGAAAGGAAGGAAAAAAGGAAGGGAAAGAGGAAGGGAAAGAGGAAGGAAGGAAGGAAGGAAGGGCAAUUGGUACUAAAUUCUUGUAGUGCCCAGGCACUCUUCCCCUAGUGGGCAGGGCAGAGAGACUGUGAAAGGUGGAGAUGAAGGAGAGCCAUCAUUUCACUCUUGAGAAAGGACGGAGCAGGCUGUGUGGAAGAGAUGAGAUCUGGGAUAAAUUGGAAAAGGUAUCAAAAAAUUAGGAGGGAAGAAAUAUUUUCAGCAAGUCUGCUACCACACUCCUCAAAUUCAACUAAGAGUGGUGAUUUAAUGUCAGAAAAGCUCCGCAUCCAGCCCUAUUAGCAGGGGCAGAAACAGACGCCAGGAGACACUGCCCACCUCCUGGGAAUCGGAAUCAGC
This 572-nucleotide long non-coding RNA is filed under the name Homo sapiens (human). Its description in RNAcentral is "non-protein coding lnc-TUBGCP3-6:6". Lineage: Eukaryota; Metazoa; Chordata; Mammalia; Primates; Hominidae. The record is from RNAcentral.